RNAcentral lists this long non-coding RNA (577 nucleotides) under Macaca nemestrina (pig-tailed macaque). RNAcentral's name for it is "lncRNA (ENSMNEG00000045673.1)". The record is from RNAcentral. Lineage: Eukaryota; Metazoa; Chordata; Mammalia; Primates; Cercopithecidae.
GAAAGGUUAAUGUCAAUAAAAUAGAUGAUGCUCUUGAAAACAUGAGAAUCCCACUUGAGGAAGAAGAAAUUGAGAAACUGUGUGAAGACUUACCUCUUGAUGGGGAAGAAAUUGACUAUCAAGACCUGGAAAAUAUUCUGAAAACCAUAGGGUUAAGACUCCAACUAAAGGAAAACUCGGUAUUGAUGAAAAGUUUGCCACUUGAUGCUGCUGGAAAGUUGUAUAAGCAUAAGUUGCUGGAUGGUAUAAGGUCUCUCAAAGGAGUGAAGCUUAGUGUUGAUAAACUAGAACCUUUCAUGGAACAUAUGGGCUUUGAGCUUGAGGAAGAGGAAUACCAAGAUCUGAAAAACAACCUGCCCAUUGAUGAUGAGGGAAGAGUUAAUGUGAAUGUGGUGAUGGAUGAAGGAUAUCUUUUUACAGGUGAGAAGGUUGAUGCUAGGAACCUGGAAAAUUUUCUGGAAAAUAUGGGGAUAAAUCUCACAGAAGAUAAAGGCAUGCAACUGCUGAAUAAUCUUCCAAUUGAUGGUAAGCAUUAAAAAUAUCACACAACCAGGCGUAGUGGCACAUGCUUGUGGUC